AUCUAUAGCCAUGCCACCCUGAACAUGCCCAAUCUUGGAAGCUAAGCAGGGUUGGUCCUGGUUAGUACUUGAAUGGGAAACAGUCAGAGAAUACUGGUUGCUGUAGGCU
Molecule: ribosomal RNA, 109 nt
Organism: Mesocricetus auratus (golden hamster)
Lineage: Eukaryota; Metazoa; Chordata; Mammalia; Rodentia; Cricetidae
Source: Ensembl